GACGAACGCUGGCGGCGUGCUUAACACAUGCAAGUCGAGGGCAUUUGGGUCGCAAGGCUCAGGUGACCGGCGAACGGGUGCGUAACACGUGAGCGACCUGCCGUCCCUGUGGGGGAUAGCCGGCCCAACGGCCGGGUAAUACCGCAUACGAUCGUUUGGGGGCGAUCCCUGGGCGACGAAAGCUUGGCGCAAGUCAGGCGCAGGACGAGGGGCUCGCGGCCUAUCAGCUCGUUGGCGGGGAACGGCCCACCAAGGCGACGACGGGUAGCUGGUCUGAGAGGAUGGCCAGCCACAUUGGGACUGAGAGACGGCCCAGACUCCUACGGGAGGCAGCAGUGGGGAAUCUUGCGCAAUGGCCGCAAGGCUGACGCAGCGACGCCGCGUGUGGGAGGACG
RNAcentral lists this ribosomal RNA (395 nucleotides) under uncultured bacterium. RNAcentral describes it as "bacterial SSU rRNA". It matches the Rfam family "Bacterial small subunit ribosomal RNA", at positions 28 to 413 of the family's 1533-position model. The record is from RNAcentral.